AACAGGGUGUAUCUGGUAUAAAUAGGCAACAAAUUCGUCUAUAUGAUACUUACAAUUUUCCAUACACAGUAAAUGUUAUAAGGGUUUUUGGAUAUUUUGAAGAAACUGAAUAAGGGUGUAACUUAGUCAUUUAAAUAGAAACUUGCCACCCCGUUGACGGUAACAUUGUCAGUUUACCUGAACACAAGCAACAGAAAUGAAGUUUAGCGCACUUUUCAUCAUCGUGUUUGUGUUUGUCGUGGUUACAGCCGCACCAAAGGUUGCCAACAAGAGGAAGGCGAAGUGUCCUGAUGGCAGACCUAUUCCCUUCUGUGGUACCAAUGGAAAGAUAGUUGGCACAUAUUACAUAGAUCUUCCAGAUGGACGUAGGCAGAGUGUAUCGUAACACCGCUUAUUGACGGAAUUCGCAUACUUGAUCCUUUCGUUUCAUCCAGUUCAAGAAAUAUAAUCUGUCAUAUACGUAAAUAUUUUCAUUUAAUCAAAUGAUGUCUUUCCGUUAAAUAAAUUAAGCAAAGAUGGAUUUUGAAAUGAUUUAUUUGAAAAGUGAAUUAUACAUGGUCUUCAUUAUUGAUAUUGUUGUUUCUUUAUUUGUCAAACGAAGUCGCACCAGUUGAGAAUUGGCAAAAGAGUCCAAUGUCACAGUUUGUACACCCUUAUACAACACAGAGUGUUGCUUUCCUUACAUUUUGCUUUGCCCUGUAUCGAUGUUUGUGAUAUCUAAUUCAUUUGAAAUAUAUUUAUUUGAUCAUUAUCCUUUUUAUCGCAGAGAAACAUUUGUUGGACAGACUAAAAUAAAAGUGGAAGUUAUCCGAAAUCAAAUAAAAAAGUAAUAAUCAUAAAAAUUAAGUAGCAUUUAUUAUUUUUAAUCUAUAUCUAUGGUCCUCUCCUUCGGUGUAAA
Molecule: long non-coding RNA, 898 nt
Organism: Mercenaria mercenaria
Lineage: Eukaryota; Metazoa; Mollusca; Bivalvia; Venerida; Veneridae
Exons: 3
Source: RefSeq, a predicted model, not a curated record